This 67-nucleotide transfer RNA is filed under the name Polyphylla laticollis mandshurica. Its description in RNAcentral is "tRNA-Asp". The record is from RNAcentral. Lineage: Eukaryota; Metazoa; Arthropoda; Insecta; Coleoptera; Scarabaeidae.
AAAAACUUAGUUAAACCCCAUAACAUUAACUUGUCAAGUUAGAAUUACCUCGAAGCGGUAGUUUUUA